Molecule: long non-coding RNA, 2112 nt
Organism: Helianthus annuus (common sunflower)
Lineage: Eukaryota; Viridiplantae; Streptophyta; Magnoliopsida; Asterales; Asteraceae
Exons: 10
Source: RefSeq, a predicted model, not a curated record
CCUUGACUCAAAAGAUCUCCCAACAUAUCUCCCAACUUCUGGUCGUCUUUCACCAUCACCAUAAUUGAAUGCCAUCAUUUAAGCCUCUCCAGCAGAAAGUAAAGAGACGCCCGCUUCACUUCAUCUUCCCCUAACCCCUCCAGUCCUAUAAAAUCCACCACACAUUACAUAGCCUCUUUGCUUUGCUCCUGGCGCGAACCAAUGAGCCACCACCGUCUGCCUCUGCCGGGAUUGCAGGGUUAUUUCUAAACAGGUGGGUGUAAUUUGGGAAGUAGGGUAAGGAGUAGUGUAAGGGAAUUGGCGCUAAGACACUAAAUUUGCAGUGAAACUGGCGGCUGGGGUACAUGCCAGGUUCGCAACGACGAGUUCAACCAAUCUAGCAGUUCUUCCUCCUGAUACAGGAAUCAUGAAGAGGGACGAGGAAAUAGGAGAAGGCAUAAACUUUUAUCUUUAUGAACAUGUUAAUGCCGUAAAUUAUUUCUUUUUUUUAUUUUCAAGACGAGUAUCAUCUUUACAUUAGAAGAAGCUCUUGGAGUGUUCGCUCUAAUAUCAAAGAUCAUGAGCCGACCCCAAAGGAAACGUUUGCGCAUGAUUGUUGAUGAUAGCAACAAGGGCAGCUCUAAUAAGUGAGUGCAAUUAUGUUUCAAUAACUUUCUCUGCUUUCCGUUGUUUAAGAGAUUCUUUUAUGUGAAGUGAAUUUUAAGAAUGUUCACAAUGAUCGCCGGGCUGUACUCUAUCUGAAUGAUUGUGAUUGUGGGGAGGAACUUUGUCGUGAGAAGGCGACAAUUAAGGAAAAAAUUAUGUGCACAAAGUCAGCAUCAAGGACAUGGUUGUGGAAUUUGAUAAGAGUAUUCUUCUUAUUCUGCACUGUUACCUAUUAGUUUUUUAUACUAAUAUUCAUUAAAGUAUCAUCUACUUGAUUCUUUCUGAACUUGGUGUGCUUUAUUUGAAGUAAUAUCCAUCUGUUACAAAUCAGUUUGGGAUAUAUUUGAUCUCUAACAGGUCAAACUGUUUGAAGGUUGACUAAUCUUUUUUUUAUAAUAUAAUGCAAACAGCCUUGUAAAUUGCUUUAUUUAAAGAAAUUUGAUUAUUUUUUAAAUAAUACAGUUUCUCUAAUCAAGUUUAACACAAUAUUUAUAUAUAAUAAUAGGUAAAAAAUGAAUAGAUAAAAAAUGCUUGUUAGGUCGUCCCAUCCAAGUUAUUUAGAUAACACCAUUUUAAGAAUUUGGGAAGUGCUUUUCAAAGGAUACAUAUAUCAAGGGAGAUAGCCAGUUCACUGUAGUCCCUCAUCCCGCACUGCUCUUCCAGAUGCUGAGUUAGAGGUGUUAAAGCUUCCAGCAUGUUUUCAAUUUUGAAACUAUUAAAUACUCCAACUAAGGAUGCAUUACUAGAUGAAUUUCUUCCCAAAAUUGUCCCUUGCAAAUUGGACCACCACUCCCUGGAUGAUCCAUGCAAAUGCUGAGCACAAGUAUCCGUAUGAUUGGCGAACAAAGAAACCUGCAAGUAUCUUGGAUAAGUUUUUUAGCAUGCUCAUCUUCGAAGAAGAUGCUGGGUGAGCUUCAUCAUAAACAGUCUUGUGUUGAUCCUUGGAUAUGCAUAUCCAGCUUUUGAGUGUUUUAAAACCAUUGAGAAGCAUAGUGAAGAAAUGCAGAAUUCAGAUUUUGGUGUCAAUAUUGUUCUUACAGUUUUUGAAAGAAUAAGUGAUAUAUUCCUUUCAUGGUUACCGAUGUAUGGAGAGAUGAAGCUAGCGCUCAUCAUCUACUUAUGGUAUCCUAAAACUAAGGGAAUAGGAUAUGUAUAUAAUGCCAUGUUGAGACCGUUUGUAGCAAGACAUGAGCCCGAUAUAGAAAGGAAGUUUAAGGGAAAUGAGGGCGAAAGCGUGGGAUGUGGCGAUUAAUCAAUUUUGAAGAGAAAUUGAGGAUAUGCAUACACAUACAUGAUCAUAAUAUGAAAAUCUAAAUGAUUAACAUAUUAUUUUUUCCAUUGCAUUAUGGGUGAUAAAUUUUUAAUCCGCUAAAAUUCUACUCUUUUGAAAUUGCAUAAAGAUGUACGAUUGCUUGAUGUGUAUCGUGUUCCUGUCAAAUCUAAAUGAUUAACAUAUUAUUUUUUCCA